UAGAUAUAUUUCUUUUUAUAAUUCAAAAUAUUAGUCCUUUCAGGGUCAUUAAAUUACACAGUAAAGUAUACUCACAUGCAGACACAGACAAUCUUACUGACACAAGCUCAUUGUUACACAGGCUCACAGACAAUGAUACACAGGCUCACAGACAAAUAUUAAAACACACACACUACAUAGCACAAUGACUUAUGGGACUGGCAUAGAUUUUUUUCCAGGGCUGCUUUGUAUCCC
Non-coding RNA from Pelobates cultripes (western spadefoot toad), 234 nucleotides. Lineage: Eukaryota; Metazoa; Chordata; Amphibia; Anura; Pelobatidae. The record is from the annotation of a GenBank genome assembly.